RNAcentral lists this ribosomal RNA (406 nucleotides) under uncultured bacterium. RNAcentral describes it as "partial 16S ribosomal RNA". It matches the Rfam family "Bacterial small subunit ribosomal RNA", at positions 30 to 526 of the family's 1533-position model. The record is from RNAcentral.
AUUGAACGCUGGCGGCAGGCUUAACACAUGCAAGUCGAGCGAGCGGCGGACGGGUGAGUAAUGUAUGGGAAACUGCCUGAUGGAGGGGGAUAACUACUGGAAACGGUGGCUAAUACCGCAUACCAUCGGAUGUGCCCAGAUGGGAUUAGCUAGUAGGUGGGGUAAAGGCUCACCUAGGCGACGAUCCCUAGCUGGUCUGAGAGGAUGACCAGCGACACUGGAACUGAGGAACGGUCCAAACUCCUACGGUAGGCAGCAGUGGGGAAUAUUGCACAAUGGGCGCAAGCCUGAUGCAGCCAUGCCGCGUGUGUGAAGAAGGCCUUAGGGUUGUAAAGAACUUUCAGCGUGGAGGCGUUACUCGCAGAAGAAGCACCGGCUAACUCCGUGCCAGCAGCCGCGGUAAUAC